CCUACGGGUGGCAGCAGUGGGGAAUAUUGGGCAAUGGGCGCAAGCCUGACCCAGCAACGCCGCGUGAAGGAAGAAGGCUUUCGGGUUGUAAACUUCUUUUCUCAGGGACGAAGAAAGUGACGGUACCUGAGGAAUAAGCCACGGCUACCUACGUGCCAGCAGCCGCGGGAAUACGUAGGGGGCAGGCGUUAUCCGGAUUGACUGGGUGUAAAGGGCGUGUAGGCGGGACUGCAAGUCAGAGGUGAAAACCACGGGCUCAACCUGUGGCCUGCAUUUGAAACUGUAGGUCUUGAGUACUGGAGAGGCAUACGGAAUUCCUAGUGUAGCGGUGAAAUGCGUAGAUAUCAGGAGGAACACCAGUGGCGAAGGCGGUCUGCUGGACAGCAACUGACGCUGAGGCGCGAAAGCGUGGGGAGCAAACAGGAUUAGAUACCCGAGUAGUC
This 443-nucleotide ribosomal RNA is filed under the name uncultured bacterium. Its description in RNAcentral is "partial 16S ribosomal RNA". It matches the Rfam family "Bacterial small subunit ribosomal RNA", at positions 338 to 795 of the family's 1533-position model. The record is from RNAcentral.